This 659-nucleotide ribosomal RNA is filed under the name Pseudovibrio sp. AU69_Ted1_NSWSEFF. RNAcentral describes it as "bacterial SSU rRNA". It matches the Rfam family "Bacterial small subunit ribosomal RNA", at positions 56 to 762 of the family's 1533-position model. Lineage: Bacteria; Pseudomonadati; Pseudomonadota; Alphaproteobacteria; Hyphomicrobiales; Stappiaceae. The record is from RNAcentral.
UGCAGUCGAACGGAUCCUUCGGGAUUAGUGGCAGACGGGUGAGUAACGCGUGGGAAGCUACCUUGUGGUAGGGGACAACAGUUGGAAACGACUGCUAAUACCCUAUGAGCCCUAUGGGGGAAAGAUUUAUCGCCAUGAGAUGUGCCCGCGUUAGAUUAGCUAGUUGGUAAGGUAAUGGCUUACCAAGGCGACGAUCUAUAGCUGGUCUGAGAGGAUGAUCAGCCACACUGGGACUGAGACACGGCCCAGACUCCUACGGGAGGCAGCAGUGGGGAAUAUUGGACAAUGGGGGCAACCCUGAUCCAGCCAUGCCGCGUGUGUGAUGACGGCCUUAGGGUUGUAAAGCACUUUCAGCAGUGAAGAUAAUGACAUUAACUGCAGAAGAAGCCCCGGCUAACUUCGUGCCAGCAGCCGCGGUAAUACGAAGGGGGCUAGCGUUGUUCGGAAUCACUGGGCGUAAAGAGUACGUAGGCGGACUGAUAAGUUAGGGGUGAAAUCCCAAGGCUCAACCUUGGAACUGCCUUUGAUACUGUCAGUCUUGAGAUCGAGAGAGGUGAGUGGAACUCCGAGUGUACAGGUGAAAUUCGUAGAUAUUCGGAAGAACACCAGUGGCGAAGGCGGCUCACUGGCUCGAUACUGACGCUGAGGUACGAAAGCGU